GUCUGACUCAUACCGAGGCUGAAAUGAAACGUCAGCCACUGUGAAAUGUGAAUGGAAGAUCCAAACCAUGAUUCCACCGCCACCGCUACCAGCGGCGCCACCGGCACAACAACCGCCGCUGUUAACUGGGACGAUCUCCCUGAGCAUCUCAUCCUCCACAUCCUUUCUUUCCUGCCCACCCUAGACACUAUCACAACGAGUUUGGUCUCCAAAAAAUGGUGCCCUCUCUGGUCAUUAAUUCCCUCCCUAAACUUCUCCUACUCUGAUUUCCCUCCCUACAAUACCCCCUCCACCACCCGCCAAUUCUUCGCCGAAUUCAUCGACCGCACCCUCGUUUGCCGCUCCCAUUCGCCUCUCAUCAAAUUCCGCCUCGAAUUCAUCUAUGAAGAUCGCUACGGUUUCCAUGUCGAUUCCUGGAUUCGUUAUGCGAUCAAGAACGGAGCUCAAGAGCUCGUUCUUGAUUUCUUCAUCGAUAAAAGUUUCCAUGUCGAGGAACCCCAUUCGUGGGAUACUUACGAUUUUCCCUUCUCCACUAUGAGAAAUGGGAAGGUU
Molecule: unclassified non-coding RNA, 552 nt
Filed under: Hevea brasiliensis (rubber tree)
Lineage: Eukaryota; Viridiplantae; Streptophyta; Magnoliopsida; Malpighiales; Euphorbiaceae
Source: RNAcentral